UAGGCACUGCUCUUGGGGUCCCCUGCUCUCCCUGGGGACGCUUCUCUCCCUGGGGACGCUUCUAUCCCUGGGGACGCUUCUAUCCCUGGGGACACUUCUAUCCCUGGGGACGCUUCUCUGCCUGGGGACGCUUCUAUCCCUGGGGACGCUUCUAUCCCUGGGGACACUUCUAUCCCUGGGGAUGCUUCUCUGCCUGGGGACGCUUCUAUCCCUGGGGACAUUUCUCUCCCUGGGGACACUUCUCUCCCUAAUUCCCCUGCACAUGUUCAGAUGAGACAGCACAGCCUGAGCUUGCGUGACUGCUUCCCUGGCUCUGGGUAUAUAUAUGGGCUCCCUCCUGCCUUGAAUCCAUCUUUCUUUCAAUUUCUUUUCCACUUUCCAUUCUACAACACCCCAAGACUGAAUCUUGCUGAGAGACUUUGUGUACCCAAAGACAACUGAGCUAACAUAAAGAAUCUAUUUUCCUCCACUGGUGCUCUUCAUCAUUCUUCUUUGUUUAACUACAGUCUCACAUCUGAAAUCACCUCCUUGCAUCAUGAGCUGUUUCUAGUGAGUGGUAUUUCUCAGACAAACCCAUUUUUAAUCAUGGUGUCAACUGAUAGUUCUUGUGAUGAGCUUUAUGACACUAUCAUCAUCAGUUCAGAUGUGGAGCUGGAUGAACAUCAGUCCUCAGUGUGAAAUUUACAAAGAAAGAGACUCUGCAUAGAGUAUAGUUAUUUGAUGUAUGAGAUGCUAUUUGAUGACCCAGCACCCUCCAAACUGUUGAAGCCAC
Molecule: small RNA, 772 nt
Filed under: Histoplasma capsulatum var. duboisii H88
Lineage: Eukaryota; Fungi; Ascomycota; Eurotiomycetes; Onygenales; Ajellomycetaceae
Description: Histoplasma capsulatum H88 hypothetical RNA
Source: RNAcentral